This 462-nucleotide ribosomal RNA is filed under the name uncultured bacterium. RNAcentral describes it as "partial 16S ribosomal RNA". It matches the Rfam family "Bacterial small subunit ribosomal RNA", at positions 28 to 507 of the family's 1533-position model. The record is from RNAcentral.
GACGAACGCUGGCGGCGUGCUUAACACAUGCAAGUCGAGCGGAAAGGCCCUUCGUGGUACUCGAGCGGCGAACGGGUGAGUAACACGUGCGUAACCUGCCCCAGACUUUGGGAUAACCCUCGGAAACGGGGGCUAAUACCGGAUACGACACAGCUUCGCAUGGGGUCUGUGUGGAAAGUUUGUCGGUUUGGGAUGGGCUCGCGGCCUAUCAGCUUGUUGGUGGGGUGAUGGCCUACCAAGGCGACGACGGGUAGCCGGCCUGAGAGGGCGACCGGCCACACUGGGACUGAGACACGGCCCAGACUCCUACGGGAGGCAGCAGUGGGGAAUAUUGCACAAUGGGCGGAAGCCUGAUGCAGCGACGCCGCGUGAGGGAUGACGGCCUUCGGGUUGUAAACCGCUUUCAGCAGGGACGAAGCGUAAGUGACGGUACCGGCAGAAGAAGCGCCGGCCAACUACGUG